GAUUACUAUGCUUACAAAAAAUACAAUCGCAAAGAGUCAAAAACAUUUCAGAGUUUCAUAUGUAAUUUCUUUCAUAUCUAUAUAUGUAAGUACCUUAUAUAUCGAUUAUAAAAAUAUUAGAUUAUGAUCGAAAUAUAUUAAAAUGGAAAUGCUAAAUUGGCAAGUAAAUUAUACUAGAAAUUUAUGGAAUCAUGCAAUUACAAUUUACCCAAAAAAAAGCAAAUCAGUUUUGAUACAAGUAUACAUAUAUAGAGGAAAUGUUAGAAAAUAUUACUGGAGCGUGUCAUAUUUUGAGCAUUGAAUGGAUUGAAAACCUGAUGAGCAAGUAUAUUAAAUUUGAUUUACUAUAUAAACAAAUACGAAGAGAAAGGAAGAUACAUGAACGUUUUUGGAUAAAAAUGAUGGAUAAGAAGAAAUAUUCUACUUUGUAUUUUUAGAAGACGAAUCUCAAACAUCAAAUCUUAAAUUGUUGUUAUUUAUAAAAACAUAGGACAAAGAAAAAAAUUUAUAGUAAAACUGUUCAAAAUGGAAAUAAAUAAUCGAAAUCGAACAAUCACAAAUAAUUUAUAUAUCUUACAUAUUAUAUUUAUAUUUAAAAAAUGUAAAUUGUAAUAUAGAUAUUGUGUACAAUUUUAUAUUUAUCUUGAUUCAUCUGUAGAAUGCGAAAGAUGUAAAAAUUAUGCUGUCUGAUAUUUUUUUAAUGUAAAAAUAGUUUAUAUUUCGGAAAUAAAAAACAAUGUUGUAUAAUA
Long non-coding RNA from Vespula pensylvanica (western yellowjacket), 749 nucleotides. RefSeq lists it as uncharacterized. The transcript is spliced from 3 exons. The record is from RefSeq and is a predicted model, not a curated record. Lineage: Eukaryota; Metazoa; Arthropoda; Insecta; Hymenoptera; Vespidae.